GACGAACGCUGGCGGCGUGCCUAACACAUGCAAGUCGAGCGAGAGGAGUUCUUCGGAACGAAUCUAGCGGCGGACGGGUGAGUAACACGUGGGCAACCUGCCUUAUAGAGGGGAAUAGCCUUCCGAAAGGAAGAUUAAUACCGCAUAACGUUGUAGCUUCGCAUGAAGCAACAAUUAAAGGAGAAAUCCGCUAUAAGAUGGGCCCGCGGCGCAUUAGCUAGUUGGUGAGGUAACGGCUCACCAAGGCGACGAUGCGUAGCCGACCUGAGAGGGUGAUCGGCCACAUUGGGACUGAGACACGGCCCAG
RNAcentral lists this ribosomal RNA (307 nucleotides) under uncultured bacterium. RNAcentral's name for it is "bacterial SSU rRNA". It matches the Rfam family "Bacterial small subunit ribosomal RNA", at positions 28 to 334 of the family's 1533-position model. The record is from RNAcentral.